Molecule: ribosomal RNA, 430 nt
Filed under: uncultured Myxococcales bacterium
Lineage: Bacteria; Pseudomonadati; Myxococcota; Myxococcia; Myxococcales
Description: bacterial SSU rRNA
Rfam family: Bacterial small subunit ribosomal RNA
Source: RNAcentral
UGGGGAAUCUUGCGCAAUGGGAGCAAUCCUGACGCAGCAACGCCGCGUGGGUGAUGAAGGUCUUCGGAUCGUAAAGCCCUGUCGGAGGGGAAGAUGCUUUGCACAGCUAAUAGUGGUGCAAGGUGACGGUACCCUCAAAGGAAGCACCGGCUAACUCUGUGCCAGCAGCCGCGGUAAUACAGAGGGUGCAAGCGUUGUUCGGAAUUAUUGGGCGUAAAGGGAGUGUAGGCUGUUCGUUAAGUCUUCUGUGAAAUCUACGGGCUUAGCCUGUAAAGUGCAGAGGAAACUAGCGGGCUUGAGUGUCGGAGAGGAUAGGGGAAUACCCAGUGUAGAGGUGAAAUUCGUAGAGAUUGGGUGGAACACCAGUGGCGAAGGCGCCUAUCUGGCUGACAACUGACGCUGAGACUCGAAAGCAUGGGGAGCAAACAGG